AUGCUUCGCCUCCAAAGCUGCAUCGCCUCCCAUCUCCUCUCGUCUCCAUCCGCCCAUCUCCGCCGCCUCCUCUCCGCGGCCGCGCCCGCCGUUUCCCCGAGCACGGGAUUCGCUGCGGAGGAGUACCUCGUCGCCACCUGCGGCCUCACCCGAGCGCAGGCCCUCAAGGCUUUCCCGAAGGUCUCCCACCUCAAGUCCCCCUCCAAUCCCGACGCCGUCCUCGCCUUCCUCGGCGGCCUCGGCCUCUCCAGAGCCGACGUCGCCGCCGCCGUCGCCAAGGACCCCAGGCUACUCUGCGCCCGCGUGGAGAGUACUCUGGCCCCCAACUUCGCUGCGCUCAGCGGCAUCGGGCUGUCGCGCUCCGAGAUCGUGCGCCUCCUCCGCUUGCGCUGCAGAUCUGUCGUCUCCAAGCUGCAGUACUACCUGACCCUCUUCGGCUCCUCCGAGGCCUUCCUUCAGGCGCUGAAGUUCAACUGCAACCUCCUCACACACAGCAUCGAGAGUGCGGUCGAGCCCAAUGUAGCGUUGCUGCGGGAGUGCGGGCUGGGUGAUCGCGACAUUGCCAAGCUAUGCGUUGGUAUGCCAUGGCUGCUGACUGCCAACCCAGAAUGCAUCGGAUCAAUGGUUGCUCGCGCCGACGGUCUUGGCGUGAGCCGGGAAUCUCCCAUGUUCAGGCACGCGAUGCAUGCUGUUGCAUUCCACAGCGAGGAGAAGAUUGCUGCCAAAAUGGAGUACCUGAAAAAGACGCUCAGGUGGUCGGAUGCUGAGGUGCGCAUUGCUUUGUCCAAGUCUCCAAUGAUGCUGAGGAGUUCUGAGGGCAUGGUGCAGCGCAUGUCAGAGUUCCUCUACUCUGAGAUGGGGUUGGAACCAGCAUACAUUGCUCAUCGUCCGGCAAUGCUCGCUUACAGUCUGGAGCGCCGGAUCAGACCCAGGUACUACGUUGUUAAGUAUCUUAAGGAAAAUGGAUUGGUAAGUCGUGACCGGGACUACUAUUCCGCACUCACGCCGUCCGAGAUGGUAUUCUUGGAGAAGUACAUAUGCCCUCACAAGCAAGCUGCGCCGUACCUUGCUGAAGACUAUGAUGAUGCUUGCAGAGGACAAGUGCCCGAUAGGUUCAGAUUUGCAUGA
Molecule: ribosomal RNA, 1128 nt
Filed under: Triticum aestivum (bread wheat)
Lineage: Eukaryota; Viridiplantae; Streptophyta; Magnoliopsida; Poales; Poaceae
Description: partial small subunit ribosomal RNA
Source: RNAcentral